AAGGCAUUGCAAUUAAGAAAACCCUACAGAUUUCUUUUCAUUAGACUGCUUAAUAUUUUCUCUCUCUGAACAAAAAAAAAAAAAAAAAAAAGCGGUACUACGAUAUAGAGAAAGGGAAGGAGAAAAGAAAAAGUUGCAAUCCAGUGAAGAAUCAUGUGAUCAAACGUUCGUCCCAGAGGUAUUGAGAGAGAGGCGAUGAAAUCGAGAGAGAGGCUAUGAAGACACGGAGAAAGAAACAGAAAAAGAGAGAAGCGAUGAAGACACGGUGAAGCAAACAGAAAAAGAGAGAGGCGAUCCUGGUACACGGAGAAAGAAGAGAUUGCCUCUCUAUUUCUGACAAAAUGGCUCUCUGCCCACAAACAACGCCUCUGAUGGGUUCUAUUCUUUUUCUUAUUUAUUUAUAGAGAUAGAAAUAAAGAAAGAGAGGCGAUGAGGCCUGGGACAUGGAGAAAGAAACAGAGAAAGAGGCAGAGUUCAGUUUCCGCACCACCGUCCGUUCCCUUUCCAAAUUUAGACCACCAGAUUGCUGGAACCGACAUCGACAACGGAGUUCAUCAAGCGUAAACUCAUAAAUAGUUCUUUUAGCCAACAAUAUUGAUGGCAAUUUCACCUUGUGGAAGUACGUGGGUUGCUCAAUGGGGAAUUUGCCCUCAGUGCAUGCUGAGGUCUUAUGUCACAAACAAGAUUACAACAUCCCGACAUUGUACUACAAGUAGUAUAAGCUUUUUAUCAGCACCAAGUUCAAGCUUAUUUUCUCGCAGUUCCUUCCUUGUGGUAUCAUAUCCAGGUUCAUCUCUAACUUCACAACGUCGUAGGGGUGCAUGUUUCACAGUUAGAGCAGAUUCUGUGGAACUCAAUUACAGAGAGAAUUGUGCAAGGUGUGCCUAUGAUUGCAUGGCCAUUCUAUGUGGAGCAAAAGAUGAACACUGUAUUGGUAGCAAAUGAUUUGAAGGUUGCAAUGAGGGUUAAAGUGAAUGAUAAGGGCCUUGUGACACAAAGACAUCGCAAACUACGCAAGAAGCCUAAUUAGGGGAGAAGAAGGGAAAUUGAUCUGGAGCAAAAUGAAAGAACUUAAGGAUGCAGCUGCAAAGGCUUUGAGCCGAGAAGAAUCGUCAGCAAAAUCACUUGCCAUGGUGACUCGGUUAUGGAAGAGACACCAAAAAUGAUGUACUUACGUGUAGAAAUGACAAGCAUGUGUUCUUGUGAUUUGUCUUGAAUUCUGUUCUAUUAGAGUAUCUAUUUUCCUUGUUAAAUGCCAUUCCAUCUUAUUCGUAAGGAUAUAACAUUUGUGGUUGGAAUGAGGACAAUAAAAUAUUGGAACCCUAUGCUAAAUACUUAAUCUUGUGGAU
Quercus lobata is the source of this 1349-nucleotide RNA transcript. RefSeq lists it as uncharacterized. The record is from RefSeq and is a predicted model, not a curated record. NCBI's taxonomy places the organism in Eukaryota, Viridiplantae, Streptophyta, Magnoliopsida, Fagales, Fagaceae. The transcript has 5 exons.